GAUGAACGCUGGCGGCGUGCCUAAUACAUGCAAGUCGAGCGAACAGACGAGGAGCUUGCUCCUCUGACGUUAGCGGCGGACGGGUGAGUAACACGUGGAUAACCUACCUAUAAGACUGGGAUAACUUCGGGAAACCGGAGCUAAUACCGGAUAAUAUAUUGAACCGCAUGGUUCAAUAGUGAAAGACGGUUUUGCUGUCACUUAUAGAUGGAUCCGCGCCGCAUUAGCUAGUUGGUAAGGUAACGGCUUACCAAGGCAACGAUGCGUAGCCGACCUGAGAGGGGGGUAGGCCAACUGGGAAGGUGAACAGGGACCAUGCGCCUACGGGAGGCGGCAGUAGGAAACCUGCCGCAGUGGGCGAAAGUUUGACGGAGCAAGCCGGCGGGUGAUGGAGAGGUCUUGGGUUCGUAAAACUCUGUUUUGGGGGGAAAACAAAUGUGGAAGGAAACGUGCACGGUGUGACGGUACUUAGACAGAAGGCCAGGGUAAAUUCGUG
This 496-nucleotide ribosomal RNA is filed under the name uncultured bacterium. Its description in RNAcentral is "partial 16S ribosomal RNA". It matches the Rfam family "Bacterial small subunit ribosomal RNA", at positions 28 to 507 of the family's 1533-position model. The record is from RNAcentral.